RNAcentral lists this ribosomal RNA (520 nucleotides) under uncultured bacterium. RNAcentral describes it as "bacterial SSU rRNA". It matches the Rfam family "Bacterial small subunit ribosomal RNA", at positions 94 to 630 of the family's 1533-position model. The record is from RNAcentral.
AGUGGCGACCGGGUGAGUAACACGUGACUAACCUACCCUCGAGUGGGGAAUAACUUCGGGAAACCGGGGCUAAUACCGCAUAACAUCUUCGGGAUGCGAGUCCUGUUGAUCAAAGGAGUAAUUCGCUUGAGGAGGGAGUCGCGGCUGAUUAGCUAGUUGGCGGGGUAAUGGCCCACCAAGGCUUAAAUCGGUAGCCGGCCUGAGAGGGCGCACGGCCACACUGGAACUGAAACACGGUCCAGACUCCUACGGGAGGCAGCAGUGGGGAAUUUUGCGCAAUGGGGGAAACCCUGACGCAGCAACGCCGCGUGGAGGAUGAAGUCCCUUGGGAUGUAAACUCCUUUCGACCGGGAAGAUACUGACGGUACCGGUGGAAGAAGCACCGGCUAACUCUGUGCCAGCAGCCGCGGUAAUACAGAGGGUGCGAGCGUUGUUCGGAAUUAUUGGGCGUAAAGGGCGCGUAGGCGGUCGGGUAAGUCACCUGUGAAAUCUCCUGGCUCAACUGGGAGCUUGCAGGCGA